Molecule: non-coding RNA, 24 nt
Filed under: Rattus norvegicus (Norway rat)
Lineage: Eukaryota; Metazoa; Chordata; Mammalia; Rodentia; Muridae
Source: RNAcentral
UUCCUGAUGGCACCACAAAGGGGC